Molecule: non-coding RNA, 1798 nt
Organism: Camellia sinensis
Lineage: Eukaryota; Viridiplantae; Streptophyta; Magnoliopsida; Ericales; Theaceae
Source: RefSeq, a predicted model, not a curated record
UGUUUCUCUCUUUCUCUCUCUUCUAACCCUCAAAUCUCUCACCCACUUAUUUGAAUCUGAGAAACCCUAGAGUCUCAGAGAAACCGAUCCCUCAAAUCUCUCACUCUCUCUCUCUAAACCCUUCAACUCGAUUCAACCUUCUUCAGCUUGGUGAUUUAUCAUUUGGUUGAUCCAAUCUCAGAGUGAUUUUGAUUUCGAAGCUCCACCGCCAUCGCCACUGCCAUCUGUCUCUGCUUCUGCAUCGUCUACUAACCAUCUGCACGAUUUUGAUUUCAAUCCAAUCUCAGUUUUGUCGAUUCUUCUCUCUUUCGAUCUCUGUCUCUGUCUCUAUCUCCCUCUCUCUCGAUCUCUCAAUCUCUCUCUCAGAAUGAUUUUGGUUUUGCUGACAAAUUUUGUGACAAAAAUUGGGGGUUUGUGGCUUUUAUCGUCUAUUAGCACAAGAUUGUCACCAACAAUUAUUUCCAUUCCAAAGUCAUCUGACAGUGUCUCCUCUAGUUCAUCAUGGAGCAAGACUUGGGGGAGGUUAACUUGCAAAGAUCUGCGGUUGCACAAGUUGGUAUUUCGGGAUGAUGCACUGCCUGAUGGAACUGAACUAGCUUAUUUUGUUCGUGGGCAGAAUUCUGUGAACGCCCAGGAACCCAAAAUUCCAUACCCUUGGCUAGUUUUCAAUGACAAGGUUAAAGUGAAUUCAGUAUUUCUCCGGGAUUCAAUUGCGGUAUCUGAUUCCGUGCUUCUCUUAUUUGGAGGAAAGAUUUCUAAGGGCGGCCUGGAUGGACACUUGAAAAUGUUGGGAGGAUACUUGGAGUUUUUCAUGAAACCUUCCUUGGCAAAUACAUAUCUAAGAUUGAAGAAUGAGCUUGAAGAACUUAUUCAAAUGAAAGUAAGUAUUUUGCAACACAGUUAUGUUUGGCACAAGGGAUGGAUAAAUAUGGGCAAAGAGAAAGAGGGAUGGCGGAAGCAUCCCCUAAGGAAUAUGUUUAAUGCCGUUUUUGUUUUUCUUAGCUUGUUCAUUAAAGAAAACAAUCAUGAGCUGCUUCAGCUGUUGCAUGGAAGAUGAUAUGCACAAGGCUGCUGAUAAUGGACCAUUCAUGACAAAUACAGCAGGGUGAUAUCUCAUGUUGGCCAGUUUGUACAUCUAUCUUUGCUUGGUUUACUUGUGUGCUUAGUUUCCUUGCUCACUUUUUAUUCAGUUGCUUGGAUCUAUCUUGUGCGAUUGUAAGUCUUACAUAUUAGCAUCAUGCGCUUUCGUUUUAUACUUUCUAAGGCGUUUGAUUUCUUCCAAACUAACACGACGGAAAUUUAUCAUUACGGAAAUUUAUCAUUAGGAAACAAUGGAGGUUAUCAUGCUGCUGAAGCUGCAUCGAAGGACACAAAAACUGUAGAUGUUCAACCUAUUGCUGUCCCCUCCAUCCCAGUGGAUGAAUUGAAGGAAAUAACAGACAACUUUGCUGUGGAGGAGUGCUCAUAGAACUCCCAAGCAACCUAGAUCUUUUGGAUGAUAUUUCCUUUGUGAAGUUGGGCCUGUUGGAUAAUAUUUCCUUUGUGAACUCCCAAGCAUUUCAUCAUUUUUAUUUGCUUAUUAUUGUGCUAACCAAGAUUGUAGAAAAUUGAUGUGAAACUUUUGUUGAAAUCAUAAUUUUUUGCUUGUCUUUUUGAAUUUGUCUUUGAUAGGUUUGCAAUAUGUGAUAAAAUAUUUUUUCCUUUGGUUGUGUUUGUUGCUUGAUUUUGGUUGAGAAUAAUUAUGUAAAGUUUGACUAAAUUUACUCAAUAUAUUGAAAUAGCAGCAGACUUUUUUAUC